Molecule: long non-coding RNA, 223 nt
Organism: Helicoverpa zea (corn earworm)
Lineage: Eukaryota; Metazoa; Arthropoda; Insecta; Lepidoptera; Noctuidae
Exons: 2
Source: RefSeq, a predicted model, not a curated record
UUUUAAAAUUAUUGUUAAGUUAUUGGAACAAUUAGUAAUAGCUUCAAUAUAAUUUACAAUGCAAAGACCGCCACUGUAUGAACGUAGUACCGCAUAUUAUUUUUUAGCGGCAAAUUUACUAGAAAAUUAUGGAUAUCAAUCACGAGAAACAAGAGAAAUUACGCGCAGAGCAAAACUUAGGAAAAGAAUUAACCCACUGGACAUAAAUGAAACCGAAUUUAAA